GUACAGAUACUUGUUUAAGAGGGAUUUGGGUUUCUACUACCACAUGAGACAAGGAACGUAGGACAUCUUUUCUGUUUUGUCCAGUACCUGGCAGCUGGUUUGAGAAACGUCACCCUGGAAGUAGCCUCAACUCUGAGGAAACUCAAAGGCAAGUAAAAUACAGGUCUGUACUGGUCCCUCUGUUAACAGCAAUCUGCAGCAGAAAAAUGGGCUUCAGUAUUCAAGUCUGCGGCUGAGUUGGGGAGCUGGGGACGGUAACCAGUUCCAAAAAAAAGCAGCUUAGUGUGAAAUUUGUGGGAAAGAUGCUGUUCAGAGUUUAAUUUCAUUAUUUAGUUAACCAAUGAAAAUCCAGCAGAAAAAAAAGGUAAAUAAUUUUAGGAGAUGGUAAAAACUAUUUGAAAAAUGGGAAUUUCAUUGACAUAAUUUUUUGGAAAUAGAACAUUCAGUCAUUAGAGUUGAAAGCUGAAUAAAUGAAUACACGAUCGAAUGAA
Molecule: long non-coding RNA, 491 nt
Organism: Sapajus apella (tufted capuchin)
Lineage: Eukaryota; Metazoa; Chordata; Mammalia; Primates; Cebidae
Exons: 4
Source: RefSeq, a predicted model, not a curated record